AUCCCUUUUUAGUUCAUAAGCAUGAUAAUUGUGUGUUCACACACUUGUGUGACUUGUGCCUCCCUUAAAUCUUGUUAUGUACUUGGCACUUGGCACAUUACCCAUCUGACA
This 111-nucleotide small nucleolar RNA is filed under the name Sorex araneus (European shrew). Its description in RNAcentral is "Small nucleolar RNA U13 (ENSSARG00000020241.1)". It matches the Rfam family "Small nucleolar RNA U13". The record is from RNAcentral. Lineage: Eukaryota; Metazoa; Chordata; Mammalia; Eulipotyphla; Soricidae.